RNAcentral lists this long non-coding RNA (1291 nucleotides) under Marmota monax (woodchuck). The record is from RNAcentral. Lineage: Eukaryota; Metazoa; Chordata; Mammalia; Rodentia; Sciuridae.
CUACAUGGUUUCCCACAAGUAUGCACACUUCUAUGUUUUUAUCUAUCAGUUAAAAAUAAAUUUAAUUGAAAAAUAAUAAUCUCAUUGUUGGCGAGCAUAUGUGAAUAAGUAUUCUUUUAGUGUUAGUGGAGAUUUAAAGGUAUAUAAACUUUUUGAAGGAAGUAUAUGCUUUAACCAAGCAACUGUACUUCUAGAAACUUGCCUAUGGAAGUACUCAAAUAAGAGGGCUGGUAAAUAUGUUUAUUGAAAAAAAUUUUUGGAUGGCAAAAAUAAGUAACCACCAAGAUAAGAACAAUUAAAUAAAAUAUGCACAUGUAUUCAGAAAUACUGUGGAAAAUACCAUGUAGCCAUGGAAAAAGGAGAAUAUAACAAUAUAUAAGGACUUAGAACAAAAUAUUGCAAGUGGGACAAUGAAAAUGCUAUGUCUAGAAUGAUGUCUAUAUACUAUCAGAAGAAAAAAUAUCAAGUUUACAGUAGUUAAUGUCUCAGGCAGGGCAAAGGGGACAAGUGCAGAUAAUUUUAUUUUUCUACUUUACAUUUUAAUCUUUAGAUUCUUAUAAUGAGCGUUAUUACUAUGUAACUAGAGAAGACAAAGACAUUUUUUGAAAUGCUUAAUACAAGUUCAGUGCAUUUUAUUUUUAGAAAAUGCAAACACAACAUCACUGAGUAGCCUAUGGAAAUACUUUCACAAAGAUACAAAAAUUGGCAUGCAAGAAUGUUUUAUGGGGCUGGGGCUGGGGCUAAGAGAUAGAGCGCUCGUCUCACCUGUGUGAGGCACUGAGGUGGAUCCUCAGCACCACAUAAAAAGAAAUAAAUAAAAUAAAGGUAUUGUGUCCAUCUACAACUAAAAUAUAUAUAUUUUAAUAUAUAUAUAUAUUUUUUUUGUGAUUAACUUUUUAAUCCAAUGGUACAACAGUAAACAGUUUCCCUUCAUUAGUAUUUUGCCUAAAACAUACAGUAAUGGCAUCAUCUGACCCUAAAAAAUAUUUUUAAAAGAAUGUUUUAUUGCAGCAUUUGUGACAAUAAAAGAUUAUAACUCAUUCAUACUAUGUAAGAGAAUGAAUCAAUAAAAGAAUGCUUUGUGUCUACUGAAGUGAAAAGAUGUCCACGAUAUUUUAUGUGAGAGGUGAAACUAGGUGCAAAAGAGGAGGGUAAUAAUAGUUAUAAAUUUAUUGUAGAAUGAAAUGAUUAAUGUAAAACUGCAGUACAGUAAGUAUUAAAUGCUGCAUGAAUUUUAUUAUGUUUACAGAAGGGGUGAAAAUGAGUAUGAUAAGGCUAGUAAUAGAAUCCA